GGAGCGCAGCCCGCCCUCAGCUCCAGCCACGUCCCGAGUGAGGCGCUGUGGUCCACCGGCUGCAAGCAGUUACUGGCAGGCUGGGUUCGGACUG
This 94-nucleotide small RNA is filed under the name Ovis aries (sheep). Its description in RNAcentral is "TP53 target 1 conserved region 2 (ENSOARG00000023545.1)". Lineage: Eukaryota; Metazoa; Chordata; Mammalia; Artiodactyla; Bovidae. The record is from RNAcentral.